This 70-nucleotide transfer RNA is filed under the name Marmota monax (woodchuck). RNAcentral's name for it is "tRNA.Val". The record is from RNAcentral. Lineage: Eukaryota; Metazoa; Chordata; Mammalia; Rodentia; Sciuridae.
GUAAUGGGGCUCAGUGGUAGAGCACUUGCCUCACAGGUGUGAGGUACUGUGUUCGAUUUUCAGCACCACA